Molecule: long non-coding RNA, 261 nt
Filed under: Homo sapiens (human)
Lineage: Eukaryota; Metazoa; Chordata; Mammalia; Primates; Hominidae
Description: HSALNT0250738
Source: RNAcentral
AUGUAGACCUUCUCCUUCCUUUUGCCUCAAAGCAUCUACCAGUAAAUCCUUGAAACUGAAAAGGGCCAGCCGGCUCAUUGUCAGGAGAGGAGAACUAGAGGGCUUUGUGGCAUAGCAUCUUGGAGGGAAGAGCCCCCAGGCAGAGCCUGGAUGUGGACAGCUUUCCAGAGAAAAGAGCAGGCUGCCAGGAAGAAAGCCAGCUGGGAGCAACAGUCCCUCAUGGCUCCAUUGUGUUUGAAAGUACAACUAACCCAAUGCUCA